This 1473-nucleotide ribosomal RNA is filed under the name Triticum aestivum (bread wheat). RNAcentral describes it as "partial small subunit ribosomal RNA". Lineage: Eukaryota; Viridiplantae; Streptophyta; Magnoliopsida; Poales; Poaceae. The record is from RNAcentral.
AUGAGUAACUUUUUGUCUCAUAUCCUUAACCUAAAAAGAAUUUUACCCGCAAGAAACGUGGGUAAUGGGUACCCACUGUCAUCCCUAUUCACGGCACAAUGCACAAAAUGUCCAGACAUCACGGUCCCAACAUUUAGGGCCGGUUUGGUGAUAUCCUCCGUGGUCCGUGCAAGCUCGUUCCACUCACCGGUCACCACACACACUCGUCACAGGAAAAUUUGUGGCGUGAGAAGCUGGGCCGAGCAGAGGAUGGACGGACGCAGAGCAGCACCGCCGCCGGCGUCGCGGAUUAGUGGCUGGCACGCCGAGGACGAGUCCGAGCUGGGCGAGGAGGAGCUCGGUGUCUUCACCGCCGAGCGCUACUUCAACGGCGCCCUCGGCGCCGAGGAGGCUUUGUGGUGCGACCGCUCGUCGUCGUCGUUCUCGUCCGCGUUCAAGACAUGGCAGCACGACGGGUCUGCCCCGACGCCGACGGCUGCCACCAGCUCGUCGGAGGCCAGCUGGAACAGCCGCUCUGCGCUUCUGCCUAACCGUCCGGCGAUGGCAGUCCCCUCGCCCGUUGAGGGCAAGCCGGAUUCCAGGACAGAGAGUGAUCAGACCGGAAGAAAGGCACGCUCGUCGUCAUCUCACCUGCGACGUUGGCUUCUCGGCAUGGCAGGGCGCGCCUGCGCCUGGGGCGACGGCGAGGAGUCUGUGGGCACCGACGACCCGAGCCGGCAUGAAUUGGAGUCCGGCUCUGUUCACGGUGGCCAGAAACGCAGCCCCGAAGCGGAUGCGGCGCUACCAAGAAUGACGAGCAAGCAGACCGCCGUGGAGGACGGCACCACGGCGAGGGUGAUGUCUGGCAAGAGGGCCGACGACGGCGCCGCACCACCUACCCUGCUGGUCGCGGAAGCUACGCACAGACGAGCUGCAAACUCCGGCGAAUUGCCCAUGAGGAUGCUGGAUCCGGCGGCGAACGCGUCGUACAAGUACAACGACCGGCUCCGGCGGGAAUCUUUGGAUAUGUUUCACCAGGCAGGCCAAGGCUCUGCCAUCACAAUCGUGGCUGGAAGCACGGCGCGGGGUGGUGCCGCAACUGCAAGUGCAGGCAGCGGUGCUAGAGGAAGCCCCGACACACCAAGCAGGAGGCGCGACUCCGGCGAUCUCGAGAGCGUGUGCCCGCCGAGCGAGGCGAGCGUGGUGUGGAGCGUGGUCACCGCGGAAGGCGCCGCGUCCGGCAACUUCUCCAGCGCGGCCUCUGGAUGCCACUAUUACUUCAACGACGGCGACGGAGAGACGACGCGGCACGCGGCGGCAGGAGGAAAGAUCAACCGGAGGAGACGAAGCAACGGCGGCGGCUUGCUGAUGGGCUGUAUGUCCAAGAGGGCCGUCGACGCCGUCGGCUCCGCCUCGGACGUGCGUCUACCGGCCGGAGGUAGAGCCGGCGCCGGUGGCGAGGUGAACGGCCGAGACGUGACGCGCCGCCGGUAG